This 222-nucleotide ribosomal RNA is filed under the name uncultured bacterium. RNAcentral describes it as "partial 16S ribosomal RNA". It matches the Rfam family "Bacterial small subunit ribosomal RNA", at positions 114 to 336 of the family's 1533-position model. The record is from RNAcentral.
CGCGUGGGUAACCUGCCUCAUACAGGGGGAUAACAGUUGGAAACGACUGCUAAUACCGCAUAAGCGCACAGGAUCGCAUGAUCCGGUGUGAAAAACUCCGGUGGUAUGAGAUGGACCCGCGUCUGAUUAGCCAGUUGGCAGGGUAACGGCCUACCAAAGCGACGAUCAGUAGCCGACCUGAGAGGGUGACCGGCCACAUUGGGACUGAGACACGGCCCAAGC